RNAcentral lists this unclassified non-coding RNA (377 nucleotides) under uncultured Intrasporangiaceae bacterium. RNAcentral's name for it is "contains 16S-23S intergenic spacer region". Lineage: Bacteria; Bacillati; Actinomycetota; Actinomycetes; Micrococcales; Intrasporangiaceae. The record is from RNAcentral.
UCCGAGUUGACCCCGGCAGUCUCCUAUGAGUCCCCGGCAUAACCCGCUGGCAACAUAGAACGAGGGUUGCGCUCGUUGCGGGACUUAACCCAACAUCUCACGACACGAGCUGACGACAACCAUGCACCACCUGUGUACCGACCUUGCGGGGAGCACAUCUCUGCACUUUUCCGGCACAUGUCAAGCCUUGGUAAGGUUCUUCGCGUUGCAUCGAAUUAAUCCGCAUGCUCCGCCGCUUGUGCGGGCCCCCGUCAAUUCCUUUGAGUUUUAGCCUUGCGGCCGUACUCCCCAGGCGGGGAACUUAAUGCGUUAGCUGCGGCACGGACCUCGUGGAAUGAGGCCCACACCUAGUUCCCAACGUUUACGGCAUGGACUAC